Molecule: transfer RNA, 72 nt
Filed under: Clonorchis sinensis
Lineage: Eukaryota; Metazoa; Platyhelminthes; Trematoda; Opisthorchiida; Opisthorchiidae
Rfam family: tRNA
About the family: Transfer RNA (tRNA) molecules are approximately 80 nucleotides in length. Their secondary structure includes four short double-helical elements and three loops (D, anti-codon, and T loops).
Source: Rfam by way of RNAcentral
CGUGUGCUGGUGGAGCGGCAGUAACACGCUGGCCUCGCAUGUCGGAUGCCCGGAGUUCGAACUCCGGCACGA